This 742-nucleotide ribosomal RNA is filed under the name Margattea nimbata. RNAcentral's name for it is "eukaryotic LSU rRNA". It matches the Rfam family "Eukaryotic large subunit ribosomal RNA", at positions 672 to 1138 of the family's 3401-position model. The record is from RNAcentral. Lineage: Eukaryota; Metazoa; Arthropoda; Insecta; Blattodea; Pseudophyllodromiidae.
AGUCUAACACGUGCGCGAGUCGAAGGGUUGGCUAUAAGACCCCAAGGCGAAGCGAAAGCGAGAAGUCGAGAGAGAUUUCCGGAACCUUUCGAGGCGAGGCGCCAUGCGCGGCGGCAGGCGGUAGCCCAAAAAGCAAAAAACGCCGGCCUGCGUCUGCUCGCGUGUCCUCGACCGGUUCUCUCGGUGAAAAACGAUUGUACACGGAUCGAAAGAAAUUCGGCUUUCUCGAGGGAAGAUGGAGAAAUUGUGCUGUGGAUGCCUCUCCCGCACUCCCGGGGCGAUCUCGGACUCCGGUCCGCAAGGUCGCACCUUAGAGCGCACGUGUUGGGACCCGAAAGAUGGUGAACUAUGCCCGGUCAGGACGAAGUCAGGGGAAACCCUGAUGGAGGUCCGCAGCGAUUCUGACGUGCAAAUCGAUCGUCAGAGCUGGGUAUAGGGGCGAAAGACUAAUCGAACCGUCUAGUAGCUGGUUCCUUCCGAAGUUUCUCUCAGGAUAGCUGGCGCCCCGGUCGGAAGUGCAGAACGAGUCUCAUGACGGUAAAGCGAAUGAUUAGAGGCCUUGGGGCCGAAACGACCUCAACCUAUUCUCAAACUUUAAAUGGGUGAGAACCCCGGCUUGCUCGAUCAAAAAGAUUCCUUUUUGCGGUCUUAUGUGAAGCUCGGGGAAAAGAUGGAAUUGUGGAAAAAGAGAGAGCUCUUUCGUGCAUUUCCCGUGGAUCGGGGUGCCUAGUGGGCCAUUUUG